AGGAGCUGGUAUCAGGCACACCUAUUAAAGCCCAUAACACCUUGCUAAGCCACACCCCUAAGGGAAUUCAGCAGUGAUAGACAUUAAGCCCUGAGUGAAAACUCGACUAAGUUAAAGCUAACAGAACCGGUUAAUCUCGUGCCAGCCACCGCGGUUAUACGAGAGGUUCAAGUUGACACCCACCGGCGUAAAGCGUGGUUAGGUGAACCCCUCCCCCCCCCCCACUAAAGUCGAACGUCCCCCUCGCUGUUAUAUGCCUACGAAGAUAUGAAGCCCAACUACGAAAGUGACUCUACAACACUGAACCCACGAAAGCUAAGGCACAAACUGGGAUUAGAUACCCCAUUAUGCUAAGCCCUAAACCCUGACAGUACUUAACCCAUGCUGUCCGCCCGGGAAUUACGAGCAUGAGCUUGAAACCCAAAGGACUUGGCGGUGCUUUAGAACCACCUAGAGGAGCCUGUCCUAUAAC
Molecule: ribosomal RNA, 472 nt
Filed under: Suggrundus meerdervoortii (big eyed flathead)
Lineage: Eukaryota; Metazoa; Chordata; Actinopteri; Perciformes; Platycephalidae
Description: partial 12S rRNA
Rfam family: Bacterial small subunit ribosomal RNA
Source: RNAcentral